Lagenorhynchus albirostris (white-beaked dolphin) is the source of this 2071-nucleotide RNA transcript. It is a transcript of the gene named elongation factor 1, with no coding region annotated. NCBI's taxonomy places the organism in Eukaryota, Metazoa, Chordata, Mammalia, Artiodactyla, Delphinidae. The transcript is spliced from 11 exons. The record is from RefSeq and is a predicted model, not a curated record.
GGGGCUUACUCGCUGGGAGGUCCCGGCCUCGGGUGGGUGAGACAGAAGGGGAGAGGAGGGAUUUCCGCUUCCGCCGGGAGCUGGAAGUCACUGUCUCCCGGGUGAACGAGGCUGUCGCAAAGAUCGUUGGCGAGUGCAGGUUUGCCCUCCUGCAGACAUGGGGCGCAGAAAGUCAAAACGGAAGCCACCCCCCAAGAAGAAGAUGACAGGCACCCUAGAGACCCAGUUCACCUGCCCCUUCUGCAACCACGAGAAGUCUUGUGACGUGAAAAUGGACCGGGCCCGCAACACCGGAGUCAUCUCUUGUACCGUGUGCCUGGAAGAAUUCCAGACGCCCAUCACUUAUCUGUCGGAACCAGUGGACGUGUACAGUGAUUGGAUAGAUGCCUGCGAGGCGGCCAAUCAGUAGCAACGCAGAGGACCCACUCCCUUGGCAGCCUCACCCGCUGGCCGCCCUGAGGAAGGAAGAUGCUCACAGAUGAGGAAACAGGCCCGAGACAGGAGGUCACCGGCCAAAGGUCCCACAGCCAGAAGACUGCACGGCUGCCGGGCCUUGAAUCCAGGAGGCCUGGCUUCACAGCCCAGCAUCUUACUUCUUCCUGAGUCCAGGGUCCAGGCUAAGGGAACAGCUCCUGGCUUCCUGGGGGGUGGGGGGCAGUGGGGAGCACUGGAGAAGAGUAAGGGACCCUUGUCCUAGGGUCGCGAGGAGCCGGAGGUGGAGCCAGAUGCACGUGUAGGGUGUAAGAAGAAAUGCCUGGGCUUUGUCCCUGGCUCCUGGCAGGAAGCUUCUAAAACCCUUGGAAUUUCCUGAGCAACUGGAGUACUUUUUGUCAUCCAUAAAGAGCCCCUUUUGAUCACAGUGGGAAGGAUGAUGGAACCUUCCUCCCAGGGCCACGCUGAGGAUGGAGGCACCUGUCAUGAUUCCUGGCACAGUUCCAACAGACUCGGACCCACCAGGGCAGCGGGGGAUGUGAACGGCCGAGAAGAUGCUGACCAGGCCAGAAGCCCUGGCCACCAGGCCCAGCCACUGGGUCCGGCAUGUGUCCCCCAGGGCCCUCUCUACCCUGACAUACCCCUCCUUGGUGCUCCCACCUCCCCCUCCAAGGCCCCAGGUGGGGUUCCCUGGCCGAGGCAGGACCCAGCGGACACAGGCAGAGUGGUGGACAGGUCCCCACAUUCCAGCCUCGCCCCCUGCCCUGGGGAGGGAAGGGGAGAAGACCGCUGUGCCCCCAGCAUGGCCGCAUCCUCUCGUUGGAACCCUGGCAUUUGAUAGCUUCUGGGCAGCCCGUUCCGGCGCUUGGCCUCAACGCAACCCACAGGCCCCCAGGGAAGGCUACAGACUGGAAACUGAGGCCCAGAGAAGGUGGGUCACAUGACUGAUAGGUGGCCUGACUUCCAGGGUUCAAGUUCCAGCCCGGCCACUCAUCACAUGGGCAAUCCUGGCAAUCAGCCCCCAGCUGCAGCCCCACCACAGACCGUCCACACACACAGGCAGGACCCAGAUGGGAAACCAACCCCGGGGAGCUAGACUCGUUCAGCAAUUCCUUUUACUCUGCCUCCUGAAGACUUCCAGAAGCCCACCUCCGCCCUGCUCUGAGCCACCAGUGUCUCUUUCCUGGGCUCUUGCCUUGACCUCCCCUUGGGCUCCCAGCUUCCACCUCAUCCCCUCCAGAUGCUUGUCAUCCCAUGGCUAAAAUGGCCUUCUUAAAGCAAUUCCGUAUGGUUUAUCAUAGGAUAUUAAAUAUAGUUCUCUGUGCUAUACAGUAGGACCUUGUAUAACUUUGCUGUACAGCAGAAGUUAACACAGCUGUAAAUCAACUAUACUUCAAUUAAAAAAAAAAACUUCCAGUUACUCCCCAGUUCAGAGCACUCCCAUGGUUUCCUAUUGCCUUGAGAAUAAAAGCCUAACUCCAUAGUAUGAAGGAUGAAGAGGCCCUGUACCAUCUGGCCCCCAGCUAACUCCCUCCACUUUCCCUGAUCACUGAGGCACGCUCCCACCCCAGGGCCUUUGCACUGGCUGUUCCCGCUGCCUGGCCCACUCUUCCCUAAGAUGUCCUGCCGGCAACUUCCC